This 755-nucleotide long non-coding RNA is filed under the name Homo sapiens (human). RNAcentral describes it as "HSALNT0169292". The record is from RNAcentral. Lineage: Eukaryota; Metazoa; Chordata; Mammalia; Primates; Hominidae.
CAUGGGCAAAAGAUGCAGUCAAAACAACAAAAACGGGGAGGUUACGCAGUUCAGAAAAUCCCACACAUUCUCAAGAAGGGUGUCCCCGCCAAGCUGAGAGAUACCUGGGACAUCAUGCUUUCCUGGAGGGGAAGGCUCCCUGCCCCCAUUCCUGUACAGCCGGGAGAGUCGCUCCUGUUCGUCAUCCCAUCUUCUCGCUCUCAUUUGCUGGGCUGACCUCUGCUGGUAUUUCAAGACUGUUUGGUGCCACCCUCUCUGAGAGAUGGCCUCCCUCAUCUGAUUUAGAUGCUUUUCUUUACCUUCUCAUAGCAGCUUGUACUAAUACUUGCUACCCCCUGUUGAAAUUGUCACCAGGCAGGUCUGUCUCUAAGACCAGACAGUCUGCUUUUGUCUUGGAAGGACACUUAUUACCCCUUCCUGUUCACAGGUAUUUAGUAUUCUUACCAUCAUCUUUCCCUGCUGUGCUCCCGGCAGACAAUUCUAAUCUGUCAUGACACUCUGAUGAUCCCAGACCCAGCUGCAUUAUCAUUCUCAGUCCAACACUCCAGGAACCAAGGGAUCACAAUCCACUUCUAAGAGGAAUCCAGCAUGUGCCUGGUCUUGGGCAUUCCCUGGUAGCUCCUGUUGUGGAAUUAGUGUGAGACCCAGAAGACUGUGGCCAAAGCUAUUAUGGACCCAUGGUCUCCGUGGAAUCAUCCCUCAUGACUUCUGCUCUCUGAUCACAUCCACACUCAUGUCAUCCUCGUUCUUCCAAG